Molecule: ribosomal RNA, 447 nt
Filed under: Granulicatella adiacens
Lineage: Bacteria; Bacillati; Bacillota; Bacilli; Lactobacillales; Carnobacteriaceae
Description: bacterial SSU rRNA
Rfam family: Bacterial small subunit ribosomal RNA
Source: RNAcentral
GACGAACGCUGGCGGCGUGCCUAAUACGUGCAAGUCGAACGAGAGCGACCGGUGCUUGCACUGGUCAAUCUAGUGGCGAACGGGUGAGUAACACGUGGGUAACCUGCCCAUCAGAGGGGGAUAACAUUCGGAAACGGAUGCUAAAACCGCAUAGGUCCUUUAACCGCAUGGUUGAAGGAGGAAAAGAGGCGCAAGCUUCUGCUGAUGGAUGGACCCGCGGUGCAUUAGCUAGUUGGUGAGGUAACGGCUCACCAAGGCCGUGAUGCAUAGCCGACCUGAGAGGGUGAUCGGCCACAUUGGGACUGAGACACGGCCCAAACUCCUACGGGAGGCAGCAGUAGGGAAUCUUCCGCAAUGGACGCAAGUCUGACGGAGCAACGCCGCGUGAGUGAAGAAGGUUUUCGGAUCGUAAAACUCUGUUGUUAGAGAAGAACAAGUGCUAGAGUA